Molecule: non-coding RNA, 108 nt
Organism: Eumeta japonica
Lineage: Eukaryota; Metazoa; Arthropoda; Insecta; Lepidoptera; Psychidae
Source: the annotation of a GenBank genome assembly
UCCUACCACGCUGAAUAUAUCGGUUCUCGUCAGAUCACCAAAGUUAAACAGCGUUGGGGGCGAUUAGGACUUAGAUGGGUGACCUCCUGGGGAACACCGCGUGAUGUU